RNAcentral lists this ribosomal RNA (495 nucleotides) under uncultured bacterium. RNAcentral's name for it is "partial 16S ribosomal RNA". It matches the Rfam family "Bacterial small subunit ribosomal RNA", at positions 28 to 507 of the family's 1533-position model. The record is from RNAcentral.
GACGAACGCUGGCGGCGUGCCUAAUACAUGCAAGUAGAACGCUGAAGGAGGAGCUUGCUUCUCUGGAUGAGUUGCGAACGGGUGAGUAACGCGUAGGUAACCUGCCUGGUAGCGGGGGAUAACUAGUGGAAACGAUAGCUAAUACCGCAUAAUAGUAGAUGUUGCAUGACAUUUGCUUAAAAGGUGCAAUUGCAUCACUACCAGAUGGAACUGCGUUGUAUUAGCUAGUUGGUGAGGUAACGGCUCACCAAGGCAACGAUACAUAGCCGACCUGAGAGGGUGAUCGGCCACACUGGGACUGAGACACGGCCCAGACUCCUACGGGAGGCAGCAGUAGGGAAUCUUCGGCAAUGGACGGAAGUCUGACCGAGCAACGCCGCGUGAGUGAAGAAGGUUUUCGGAUCGUAAAGCUCUGUUGUAAGAGAAGAACGAGUGUGAGAGUGGAAAGUUCACACUGUGACGUUAUCUUACCAGAAAGGGACGGCUAACUACGUG